GAGAGUUCAGUAGAGAAAAAAAACUGGCUGGUUUUUAGACCCAAAAACCAGUCUUUUGGAGAGCAUUUUUUAGAGAGUUUAAGCAGUCAGUUAAUUCAACAUAAUGCUAAUUCAUGGUAAACUAAAGAGAAUUUCAGCUUUAACGAUCAAGUUAUAUUUUUGAGUUCAUCUUUUUGUUGCCGGUACUGCAUUUCGAUUGCUAUUUGGUUUUACAACUGAUUCUAUGCUGUUGGUUGAGAGUGUAUUCGGGUGGAAAUUGGUUUUGUUGUUGGUUUAAGC
This 279-nucleotide long non-coding RNA is filed under the name Nicotiana benthamiana. RNAcentral's name for it is "long non-coding RNA (NBEN_LNC020984)". The record is from RNAcentral. Lineage: Eukaryota; Viridiplantae; Streptophyta; Magnoliopsida; Solanales; Solanaceae.